This 443-nucleotide ribosomal RNA is filed under the name uncultured bacterium. RNAcentral's name for it is "partial 16S ribosomal RNA". It matches the Rfam family "Bacterial small subunit ribosomal RNA", at positions 338 to 795 of the family's 1533-position model. The record is from RNAcentral.
CCUACGGGAGGCUGCAGUGGGGAAUAUUGCGCAAUGGGCGAAAGCCUGACGCAGCGACGCCGCGUGAGGGAUGAAGGUCUUCGGGUUGUAAACUUCUUUUCUCAGGGACGAAGAAAGUGACGGUACCUGAGGAAUAAGCCACGGCUAACUACGUGCCAGCAGCCGCGGUAAUACGUAGGUGGCAAGCGUUAUCCGGAUUUACUGGGUGUAAAGGGCGUGUAGGCGGGACUGCAAGUCAGAUGUGAAAACCACGGGCUCAACCUGUGGCCUGCAUUUGAAACUGUAGUUCUUGAGUACUGGAGAGGCAGACGGAAUUCCUAGUGUAGCGGUGAAACGCGUAGAUAUUAGGAGGAACACCAGUGGCGAAGGCGGUCUGCUGGACAGCAACUGACGCUGAGGCGCGAAAGCGUGGGGAGCAAACAGGAUUGGAUACCCGAGUAGUC